AGAACUGCAAUUUCGAAGUAAGGAAUGAUAAGGUAACGCUUUGAAACUUACUCUUUAAUACUCCGACUAGCAUCAUAAAUGGAAACAUUAGGUGUUAGAAGCUCGGUGAAGUCGGCAGAAGCAGACCUAAGUCUAAGAAAUAAUCAAGUAAGGUUGGUACAAAAGUGGCUAGAGCCCACCUGCCAUGAAAGAUUAAAGUAUGAGAUAUGGUUUGUGAUAUGUCGGAAGUCUAUAAA
This 236-nucleotide non-coding RNA is filed under the name human gut metagenome. The record is from RNAcentral.